CAGAGAUGCUUUGGUGCCUUCGGGAACUCUGAGACAGGUGCUGCAUGGCUGUCGUCAGCUCGUGUUGUGAAAUGUUGGGUUAAGUCCCGCAACGAGCGCAACCCUUAUCCUUUGUUGCCAGCGGUCCGGCCGGGAACUCAAAGGAGACUGCCAGUGAUAAACUGGAGGAAGGUGGGGAUGACGUCAAGUCAUCAUGGCCCUUACGAGUAGGGCUACACACGUGCUACAAUGGCGCAUACAAAGAGAAGCGACCUCGCGAGAGCAAGCGGACCUCAUAAAGUGCGUCGUAGUCCGGAUUGGAGUCUGCAACUCGACUCCAUGAAGUCGGAAUCGCUAGUAAUCGUGGAUCAGAAUGCCACGGUGAAUACGUUCCCGGGCCUUGUACACACCGCCCGUCACACCAUGGGAGUGGGUUGCAAAAGAAGUAGGUAGCUUAACCUUCGGGAGGGCGCUUACCACUUUGUGAUUCAUGACUGGGGUGAAGUCGUAACAAGGUAAGCGUAGAUGA
Molecule: ribosomal RNA, 508 nt
Filed under: uncultured bacterium
Lineage: Bacteria
Description: bacterial SSU rRNA
Rfam family: Bacterial small subunit ribosomal RNA
Source: RNAcentral